RNAcentral lists this ribosomal RNA (459 nucleotides) under uncultured bacterium. RNAcentral describes it as "partial 16S ribosomal RNA". It matches the Rfam family "Bacterial small subunit ribosomal RNA", at positions 338 to 795 of the family's 1533-position model. The record is from RNAcentral.
CCUACGGGUGGCAGCAGUGAGGAAUAUUGGUCAAUGGCCGGAAGCCUGAACCAGCCAAGUCGCGUGAGGGAGGAAAGCGCAGAGCGUUGCAGACCUCUUUUGCAGGGGGAUAAAAGGCCGGACUCGUCCGGUCCUGAGUGUACCCGAAGAAAAAGCAUCGGCUAAUUCCGUGCCAGCAGCCGCGGUAAUACGGAGGAUGCGAGCGUUAUCCGGAUUUAUUGGGUUUAAAGGGUGCGCAGGCGGUCCUUUAAGCCGGCGGUGAAAUCGCGGGGCUCAACCCUGCCGAGCCGUCGGAACUGGGGGCCUUGAGUGCGGCGAGGGCAUGCGGAAUGCGUGGUGUAGCGGUGAAAUGCAUAGAUAUCGCGCAGAACCCCGAUUGCGAAGGCAGCGUGCCGGAGCGCGACUGACGCUGAGGCACGAAAGCGCGGGGAUCGAACAGGAUUAGAUACCCCUGUAGUC